RNAcentral lists this ribosomal RNA (155 nucleotides) under Salix viminalis (osier). It matches the Rfam family "5.8S ribosomal RNA". Rfam says of the family: 5.8S ribosomal RNA (5.8S rRNA) is a component of the large subunit of the eukaryotic ribosome. It is transcribed by RNA polymerase I as part of the 45S precursor that also contains 18S and 28S rRNA. Functionally, it is thought that 5.8S rRNA may be involved in ribosome translocation. Lineage: Eukaryota; Viridiplantae; Streptophyta; Magnoliopsida; Malpighiales; Salicaceae. The record is from RNAcentral.
GACUCUCGGCAACGGAUAUCUCGGCUCUCGCAUCGAUGAAGAACGUAGCGAAAUGCGAUACUUGGUGUGAAUUGCAGAAUCCCGUGAACCAUCGAGUCUUUGAACGCAAGUUGCGCCGAGGCCUCCUGGUCGAGGGCACGUCUGCCUGGGUGUCA